UACGUAGGGACCAAGCGUUGUUCGGAUUUACUGGGCGUAAAGGGCGCGUAGGCGGCUUGACAAGUCACUUGUGAAAUCUCCGGGCUUAACUCGGAACGGCCAAGUGAAACUGUCAUGCUAGAGUGCAGAAGGGGCAAUCGGAAUUCUUGGUGUAGCGGUGAAAUGCGUAGAUAUCAAGAGGAACACCUGAGGUGAAGACGGGUUGCUGGGCUGACACUGACGCUGAGGCGCGAAAGCGUGGGUAGCGAACAGG
Molecule: ribosomal RNA, 253 nt
Filed under: uncultured bacterium
Lineage: Bacteria
Description: partial 16S ribosomal RNA
Rfam family: Bacterial small subunit ribosomal RNA
Source: RNAcentral